GACGAACGCUGGCGGCGUGCUUAACACAUGCAAGUCGAACGGUGAAGCGAGUGCUUGCACUCGUGGAUCAGUGGCGAACGGGUGAGUAACACGUGAGUAACCUGCCCAUCACUCUGGGAUAAGCACUGGAAACGGUGUCUAAUACUGGAUACGACCAACCCUUGCAUGGGGUGUUGGUGGAAAGAUUUAUCGGUGAUGGAUGGACUCGCGGCCUAUCAGCUUGUUGGCGGGGUAAUGGCCCACCAAGGCGACGACGGGUAGCCGGCCUGAGAGGGUGACCGGCCACACUGGGACUGAGACACGGCCCAGACUCCUACGGGAGGCAGCAGUGGGGAAUAUUGCACAAUGGGCGAAAGCCUGAUGCAGCGACGUCGCGUGAGGGAUGACGGCCUUCGGGUUGUAAACCUCUUUCAGCAGGGAAGAAGCGAAAGUGACGGUACCUGCAGAAGAAGCACCGGCUAACUACGUG
This 469-nucleotide ribosomal RNA is filed under the name uncultured bacterium. Its description in RNAcentral is "partial 16S ribosomal RNA". It matches the Rfam family "Bacterial small subunit ribosomal RNA", at positions 28 to 507 of the family's 1533-position model. The record is from RNAcentral.